UUACAAAGUUCAUGUGCGUCAAAGGGAUAGUGUUCUUCUGCUUUUGGCAGGUAAAUACUUAAU
Molecule: small RNA, 63 nt
Filed under: Arabidopsis thaliana (thale cress)
Lineage: Eukaryota; Viridiplantae; Streptophyta; Magnoliopsida; Brassicales; Brassicaceae
Description: ATSL007130
Source: RNAcentral